RNAcentral lists this long non-coding RNA (1046 nucleotides) under Marmota monax (woodchuck). Lineage: Eukaryota; Metazoa; Chordata; Mammalia; Rodentia; Sciuridae. The record is from RNAcentral.
GAACUAGGCAGGAGGCAUCUAGCAUGGCCAUUCAUGUUGCCUCCCUCUUCCCAUAUCUGAUGCAUUCACACUGGGGGCAGAGAAGAGAAAGGAAUGCUGGGAACGGACAAGGGAUGCUUGAGACAGGGCUGUCUGCUGGGCGAGAGCACAGCUUAAGUCCCUUGUUCACUCUGUAAGAUGCACAGAGUCUGAAAACAAAAGCACUUUUAUUUUGGGGAAAGCAUCUUCUGAACUUGAAAGCCUCUAAUACCUUUUCUCAUUAAUUUUAUAUGAAACAAGUGUUCAGACAAAUUCUAGCACUUUCCUAUGGGUCAUUCGCUUAAGGAGAGCUUGUGUACAGCAGUGGUGUUGAUUUUUGGCACUGCCUCCCUGGGCACUGAUCUUCUGAAAUGCCUGAACCACACCCUCACCAAUACCCAUGUGCUUAUGACCCCACAAAACCAACCUAUUUUCUGCACAUGGGCAUUUACUAGCCCACUUGACGGGAAGUCUGGAAGCAGAUGGUGGUCCUGAUUGUUUAGUGGCCCAGGGAUUUUGGUGGGGCCUGGGCUCUUCCUGUCCUUCCUGUUUGCCCUCCUCAUGAUGACAAUAUGGUGGUCACAGUUGCAAGCAGCAAAUCCUUACAUGAGAGAUCAAAAGCAAAAGUGGGAAGUAACCUAAGCUCAUUUCUCUUCACAUCUCUCAUUGGUCAAUGAAGGUCUUUCCCAAGUAGGAUUCCUUUAUGUUUCAUUGGCCAGAACUCAGGUGCCAACUGCAGAUCAAUCAUUGGCAAAAAGCAAUUGCUUUGUUAACAUAGAACUCUCAAACCCAAUGGAGGUAUUAUCAUUCUGGAGUAGGUGUGAAAAUUGGUUCUCAGAGGGCUAGAAUACCUUACUCUUUUAAUAUAAAAUGUAGAUAUACACAGCAUAUCUGCGGUAUUACGUUUUCACGGGAGAAGACAAUGUAAAAAGGAUGUAUAAUGCAGAUUAUAUUAUACACAAUGGAGUAUUACUCUGCAUUAAAAAAUGACAAAAUCAUAGAAUUUGCAGGGAAAUGGAUGGCAUUAG